Molecule: ribosomal RNA, 538 nt
Filed under: uncultured bacterium
Lineage: Bacteria
Description: bacterial SSU rRNA
Rfam family: Bacterial small subunit ribosomal RNA
Source: RNAcentral
AAUAGAUACCCUGGUAGUCCACGCCGUAAACGUUGGAUACUAGGUGUGGCGUCCCGAUCAACGGAUGCCGUGCCGAAGCUAACGCAUUAAGUAUCCCGCCUGGGGAGUACGGCCGCAAGGCUAAAACUCAAAGGAAUUGACGGGUCCCCGCACAAGCGGCGGAGCAUGCGGCUUAAUUCGAUGCAACCCGAAGAACCUUACCUGGGUUUGAAAUCAUGGGAAAAGCUGUAGAAAUACAGUGUCCGUAAGGGCCCAUGACAGGUGGUGCAUGGCUGUCGUCAGCUCGUGUCGUGAGAUGUUGGGUUAAGUCCCGCAACGAGCGCAACCCUUGUCCUAUGUUGCCAGCGGUUCGGCCGGGGACUCAUAGGAGACUGCCGGGGAUAACUCGGAGGAAGGUGAGGACGACGUCAAGUCAUCAUGCCCCUUAUAUCCAGGGCUGCACGCAUGCUACAAUGGUCGGUACAACGGGCAGCGACCCCGCGAGGGUGAGCGAAUCCCACAAAGCCGGCCUCAGUUCGGAUUGGAGUCUGCAACUCGA